AAUAUGACGAAGCUCAUAUCCUCCUGAGCACAGAUGAGAAAUAUCUAUUACUGAAACAGAGCAUUAAAAAGGAGUUCUAAUUUUAGCAGGAAUUUUUCUGAUUAGCUAUCUGUAUGGGAACUGUUGAAUCUGAACCAUUGAUUGAUCACCUGAAGUAAGGACUGAGUCAUCCCUGGGAGCCCAGGUGAAGGCAAUUCAGCUGUUUGACCGGAAGGGGUGGAACCUGGCUGCACCUCUUUUAGUCCUCAUUUAAAGGUUGAAUGCCACUGAGCAAGGGUUUCUUUCUGGAGAUCCCUUCUUUUAGAGUUCUCUGCUAUGAGCCUCAGAUACAGGUACACAGGAUGCUCACUGUUGCAUGGUGGAUGGUUGGUCUUCAAACUGUUGUGUGAUUAGGAAUGUCAAUGCAGAGGGCAGAUAUCCUGAAAACAGGAAAGAUAUCCAAGAUGACAUUUGAGAGCUCUUUUAUUUGUGGGUAUUAAGGACUGAGUCUCAGAACCAGCAGAACCUUCUUUUCUUGCUGAAUCAUUUCCAGCAAUUUAAGAAUUGGUUUUAAGUAGCACCACCUAUUAACAAAGGAGCAUAUAUAACGCACUUAGUGGAAAAGCUCCCAGUGGGUUCUUGGACAAGUUCUGUGUUUAAUUUUUGUCCUGAUGUUAAGUCUCUGAAAACUCUGAAAUCAGUUUGCUGAACCUAAGCAGAUGGCAGCAGAGGGGUGGUCUGACAAAAUGGCAUCUGACACAGAAGUGCGUGUGAAGGAGCAAAACUACAAGAGAAGCUUAUUUAAUUCUAUCUGCGAUUCUCUGAAACCAGUAUGAAGCUAUGAUUCAAGUUAAUGUUGUUAACAUCGCCUCUAUCUGAUUUGAGAAGAAACCAUGUCUGUCAAUAUUUGAAUGUGACGGGGAUGAACAGGAGGAAGAAGUGAAGUCUAAUCUCAGCAGAUGGUUGUCAAAACUGCACAGAGUGACUGAGAAUGUAGAAAGAAAUAAUAAGAGAGUUUCCCCCAUUUUGUUUUUAUGUCAUGAAUAGUGAAUAAAUCAUACAUUAUAGGCAAAUCAAAAGUAGUGAAAACUAGGUGAAGAUGAAAAGAACUAAAACAAUGUUGCUGAAAAGUAUUUUGCUGAUAAAUGUAUGUGAUUAUUCGCAGACCUUAAAUGAAUGUUGAUAUAACGGAAAACAAAAAUGGACAUAUGUAUUGUGUUUAUGCAUUGAUAAUCUCAUCUUGGAGAUAUUACAAGAAUGAUUCAUGUUGACAAGAAAAGAAGAAUGUCUUUCAAGCUGUUACUUAGUUACUGACAAAUCAAGUAUGUCAAUUGGACGCAAAGAUGGGCAAAGCAAACUUGUAAGAUAGAUAGGCUGCUGCAAGUUUUACAUCUGGUCAUAGCUGGAAAUCUAAAUGUUAACCCAAACUUUUCUCUCCAUUUAAAGACUUCUUAUUCAUUGAGGUAUGCUCUGUGUCUUGACUUGUGCUGGAAAGUCAUGGGUUAGAACUAUUUUUUUUUAUUUGAAAAAGCUAGUAGGUAUAGACCUGUGCUAUUUAUUUCCUGUUUAGUUGGAAUGCACACAAUAGAAAUAGACACUUGAACUAACGAAACAGGUUAUGUCUACCAGCCUUUUUGAAUAGUGUUUCAUUGCUUUACAAUAUUUUCUGUGUAAAUGUGCAUAUAUUGUAUUUUGAUGCUCAUACGUGCAAAAGUCAUUCCUUACUGGAUUUUUUUAUAAACAGGCUAGGACUAUGGAAGUGACUUAGUGUCACUACAGAAUGUGUUUGUGGUUAUAGGGUGACUUAACCUCUCACUUGAGCAAAAUUUAUCUGGUUCAUAGAAUGCAGGGACUACAAUAUGAAUUUCAAGUUAAGUGGGUGCCUUUGAAUGGUGUUAAAUCAAGGAUCUUCACUGACUCAUUAAGAAAUACACUUUACAUUAAUCAUUGUUGUAUUAUGUUUAGUAUAUGUAAAAUAAAUAAAAUGUAAUUCUACAGUACUUAUAAUAAUAACAAGGUUAAAAUUACUUAAAAAACAAAUGAAACUGACUUUCUUCCCAGGUCAUUUGUGUCUGAUUUUUUGCUCUGAAGUGUAUGGUUGUUUUUUUUUUGCUUGUUUGUUUGGUUGGUUUUUUGUUUUUUUUUCAUUCCUUUUGCCAUUCUGAAAGAAGUGUAUUUGAUCUUGUCUGUUCCCAACAAUUUACAAUUACAAUUGCCUCUUAUUCAAAAAGUAAAGAAGCUGCAAUUUUUAUAUAUAAGCUUUCUUGUUCAAAAGUCAAAGGUUAAUUUGAAUACUGAAAAUCUGUAUACAGCCUUGACAGCUUAACAGGUAUUUUGAGUGCUUGUAAACUAAUUUAUACUAGAAAGAAUAAAAAUUACAAGGGUUACUAAUCUUCAUGCUGAAAUCAUUAAGAUAAUUACCACCAACUGUUUUAUUAUCCAACUCUAUCAGGGGAAAUGUAGUUGCAUCCUGCAGCAAUGAAUGAAAACAGAGUAGGUAUGUACCAGUCUACAGUGGAAAUGACAUAUUGAAAAACAGGUACCUGUGCAUAUGUCUUGUACAGGUACAUAAGUUUCCUAUUGGUAAACUUAAAAGGUGUGUCUAUUAAGUGGAAUGCUGUCUCUGAAAGAAGAUCUAUUAUUUCUUAAAACACUGCCAUGUCAAGUCUCCUUUUCUGGUACUUUCCACCCAUUGCAGUACUGCUGCAU
Molecule: long non-coding RNA, 2688 nt
Organism: Tympanuchus pallidicinctus (lesser prairie-chicken)
Lineage: Eukaryota; Metazoa; Chordata; Aves; Galliformes; Phasianidae
Exons: 6
Source: RefSeq, a predicted model, not a curated record